UGCUAAGAGAUGUUCAGUGUUUGGGC
Molecule: non-coding RNA, 26 nt
Filed under: Homo sapiens (human)
Lineage: Eukaryota; Metazoa; Chordata; Mammalia; Primates; Hominidae
Source: RNAcentral